UUUAUCCCUAAUUAUUGUCAAAAGUUCAAUUUCGAAAAGUUUUAAUUCAAAAAGUGUAAACAUAAAUCUUUAGUUCACAAUUAAUUUUUAUUUAAAACAAAGUCAGAAAAGAUGUCAAACAAACCCGAUGGCCCCUCAGUCGUGGAAAACCGAAAGGCAAUAACGUUCGGCUUAAAAGUUUACAAGCAAAUAUUGAAAGCAAUGCCGAACCAUACCAAUUUAUUGAUCCCACCAUUUGUACUUUACAAAGGUCUAGGACUUCUUAAUUUGGUAGUACCCGAUAGUGACAGUAAAGAGGAACUGGCAGCAGUUUUGGGGGCGAAAAGGAAUCAACAAGACACUGCAAAAGUAUUCUGGCGGAUGAUUUGCAAAUAUUUGAAAAGAGGCGGAAACAAACGCCCGAUAUUUCUGGCUCGAUUGUUCAUAGAUAAGAAGUUUGAACUCAAAAAGGAUACCAAGGAACUGAUGAAAACUUACUUUAGGAUAUCGAGGAAAGCUAUCGACAUAGCGGAUGCUAGCAGUAUAGCUAAUACCUUCAACCAAUGGGCUAAACGGAAAUCCGGAAAUGCGAUAACAAAAGUUGCCGAACCCAGUCAAAUAGACACCAACCAAGAAAUGUUCCUGGUGUGCAUAACUACUUUUAAGGCUCGAUGGCAAUAUCAGUUUUAUAAGCCAAGCACUGCGAAUGUCAACUUCCAAGUAAAUGACACUCAAGUUGUGAAGGUGCCGAUGAUGUUCUUAUCUAAAAAGAAACUCAGAUAUGGUGUCUUAGGAGAUUUGCAGUUUUUCAAUCUAUAUUUCAAGGACGAUGAACACGCAAUGUUUUUCAUCCUCCCGAAAAAUCUACAAGCAUUCAGAGAUGUUGAAAGCAAGAUCGAGACUUUUGAUAUUAUAGGAUUGCGAAGGAGUAUGACAAUCUAUGAUAUGUCAGUUGCUAUUCCAAAGUUCAGAAUCGAAAUGCAGUUCCCAUUGUCCGAAUAUGUAAGAAAGGCAGGCCUGAAUUUGACGUUUUCGCCUCGUUCAAAAUUUACAGAAUUUACACCACGGCCAACCAACCUGCAGCAAGGGUUCCUCUCAGCAGUCAUAGAUGUUCAAGAAGGAGGACUAGCUACAGACGGCUACGGUUGGGAGUCAGGCGAUACCAACCCGACAGUCACUCUCAACCGUCCAUUUUUCUAUGCUGUUAUGUCGGCGAAACACCGAGUAUUCCUUUGGGGAUGUGUUUCAAAUCCAUCUACGAAAUCGAGGACGACGGUGAAAGACAUAAUUGAAAACCCUGAAGUCUUUCAGCGCCAGCCCGCAGAUAUCAAAUGUGAGUGUUCCCGAAGUGCCAGGACCAAGAAACGUUCGAAAUGUUCGAAAAGAAAAGUUCAAAGGAAAAACUCUUCAGAUUCUAAUACAGAACCACAAGAGGAUAGCUAAAAGCCUUUAGCUGGUCAUAAUAUGAUAUAUCAUCUAAAUUUAAUUGAGCCACAUCCACAGGUACUUUUGGUUGCAUCUUAUGCUACAACUACUUAAAGGACAUUCCGCAAAAUUUUAGUCUAAAUAUUUUAACGAUAAAGAGGUCCGCAAAAGUUGGAAAUAAUAUGAAAACUAUUCCCAUCUGUGGUAUGGUAGAGAAAUGCUUUUCUUAAUAUAGUUCAGCAUAGUAAUCGCAAAGAAAAGCUUCGGUUCAUCAUUCUUCCACCACGCUGGUUCGGUGAUCAGCGUAUAUGGGAUUUUUUUUAUUAGGUAUCAAUGUUAACACAUUAUGGAAGCAAGUUUAAAGCCAAUCAUGUUUUAUAUUGAAUACAUUUUUUUUAAAUUCGGACAUUUAACAAAAAUUUGCAAUAAAUUUAUUUCAAAACGUUA
This is an RNA transcript of Hermetia illucens (black soldier fly), 1851 nucleotides long. It is a transcript of the gene named alaserpin-like, with no coding region annotated. NCBI's taxonomy places the organism in Eukaryota, Metazoa, Arthropoda, Insecta, Diptera, Stratiomyidae. The record is from RefSeq and is a predicted model, not a curated record. The transcript has 6 exons.